Trichosurus vulpecula (common brushtail) is the source of this 331-nucleotide long non-coding RNA. RefSeq lists it as uncharacterized. The transcript has 3 exons. Lineage: Eukaryota; Metazoa; Chordata; Mammalia; Diprotodontia; Phalangeridae. The record is from RefSeq and is a predicted model, not a curated record.
CACCUGGCUCUCUCAGAUCUGCUCGGGUCAGCUCCUUAGUUCCUGUGGACUGCCUCCUUGAGAGCUGCCAGUCAUGGAGCUGUAGACCCUCUCCCCAAAAGAUAAAGAACUUGAGGCUCAGGAAGAGUGACUACCCAAGAUCACAGAAUUCAUAUAAACAGAAGAGAAAAUUCAAACUCAAGCAUCCUGACUCUUAGCCCAGUGCUUGCUCAGGAGCCUAGGAAGGGGCUGCCUCUCUGAGCCUGUGAUGGAGUUCCACAGAGAGAACCAGGAGCUCUGGCCUCCCUAGGCACACCUGGACAACAAACGCUUUCUCCAGGAUCCCUCUCCG